UACGUAGGGGGCAAGCGUUGUCCGGAUUUAUUGGGCGUAAAGAGCGUGUAGGCGGCCAGGUAGGUCUGCUGUGAAAACUCGAGGCUUAACCUCGAGAGGUCGGCGGAAACCAUCUGGCUAGAGUCCGGAAGAGGAGAAUGGAAUUCCCGGUGUAGCGGUGAAAUGCGCAGAUAUCGGGAAGAACACCCGUGGCUAAGGCGGUUCUCUGGGACGGUACUGACGCUGAGACGCGAAAGCGUGGGUAGCAAACAGG
Molecule: ribosomal RNA, 253 nt
Filed under: uncultured bacterium
Lineage: Bacteria
Description: partial 16S ribosomal RNA
Rfam family: Bacterial small subunit ribosomal RNA
Source: RNAcentral